Molecule: ribosomal RNA, 375 nt
Filed under: uncultured bacterium
Lineage: Bacteria
Description: bacterial SSU rRNA
Rfam family: Bacterial small subunit ribosomal RNA
Source: RNAcentral
UACGUAGGUGGCAAGCGUUGUCCGGAAUCAUUGGGCGUAAAGGGCGCGCAGGCGGUUCGGUAAGUCGGUCUUAAAAGUGCGGGGCUUAACCCCGUGAUGGGAUUGAAACUGCCGGACUGGAGUGUCGGAGAGGAAAGCAGAAUUCCUAGUGUAGCGGUGAAAUGCGUAGAUAUUAGGAGGAAUACCAGUGGCGAAAGCGGCUUUCUGGACGACAACUGACGCUGAGGCGCGAAAGCCAGGGGAGCAAACGGGAUUAGAUACCCCGGUAGUCCUGGCCGUAAACGAUGGAUACUAGGUGUAGGAGGUAUCGACCCCUUCUGUGCCGGAGUUAACGCAAUAAGUAUCCCGCCUGGGGAGUACGGCCGCAAGGUUAAA